GCAAAACGCGAAGAACCUUACCUACUCUUGACAUCCACGGAACUUAGCAGAGAUGCUUUGGUGCCUUCGGGAACCGUGAGACAGGUGCUGCAUGGCUGUCGACAGCUCGUGUUGUGAAAUGUUGGGUUAAGUCCCGCAACGAGCGCAACCCUUAUCCUUUGUUGCCAGCGGUUAGGCCGGGAACUCAAAGGAGACUGCCAGUGAUAAACUGGAGGAAGGUGGGGAUGACGUCAAGUCAUCAUGGCCCUUACGAGUAGGGCUACACACGUGCUACAAUGGCGCAUACAAAGAGAAGCGACCUCGCGAGAGCAAGCGGACCUCAUAAAGUGCGUCGUAGUCCGGAUUGGAGUCUGCAACUCGACUCCAUGAAGUCGGAAUCGCUAGUAAUCGUAGAUCAGAAUGCUACGGUGAAUACGUUCCCGGGUCUUGUACACACCG
RNAcentral lists this ribosomal RNA (438 nucleotides) under uncultured bacterium. Its description in RNAcentral is "bacterial SSU rRNA". It matches the Rfam family "Bacterial small subunit ribosomal RNA", at positions 954 to 1392 of the family's 1533-position model. The record is from RNAcentral.